UAUAUUAAGGGGGGGGGGUACACAUGGAUUGAUGGCCAUUUUUGAAAUGGCUGUAAUUUUAAAGAUAUUCACCAGAGUUAUGACAAACUAUAUAUCAGUAGAAAGCUUAUGACCUAUAGAAACUAAAAAUACUAAUCACUAGUACCUAACGUCCUUUGUAACCUGACACCAGGCCGGCAAUCAUACCACAUGCUGUGCAAAACUAGGGUGAAUUUGAGAAAAGAUAUCUGCUUAUAAAUUGCUUGGAAUUUUAAGAAAUUUUAUCAGUAAGUAGUAUAAGCAUCAUUAUCUUAAAUGAGCAUAGAACUUUUUUGUAUGAUAAAUCUAGUGGUCACAGCAGAGGUACAAAGUUAACAUAGGUUUUUUCGAUAAUAUUUUUUGUCAUAAAAUGUAUUCCACACAAGAUACAGAAAUUUCCUAUGCUUAAUUAAGACAGCUGUAAUAAAAGAAUAAGCCCUGAAAAUUUCAGGACAAUUGGUUAAAUACAUCAUGAGAUAUCUUUUCUCAAAGACGGAAAAUGUACAUUCCGAGAAAACAAGUGUUAAAGUUCUUAAACAACUGUUCGAGCUGUUCCUGACAGGUUUCAGGGACUUUAGCCAAAUUUUUUUGUCAUUAGAAGUACUUUUAGCACUUCAAAAGCCUCCAGCCUCAUAGGUUGUCCCUUCUGCUUCUCAUAGAGCUUCGUCUCUCGGUUUUCUUUUGGAGCUGCUGCACCUGUCGACGUCUGUUGUUUUUUCAGAUGUCUGGCAGUUAGACUUUCUGACCUGUUUCUUGUCUUUUAAAAGCAAACUUAGUUUUUCCUGCAGUUUGAUGUUUGGUUUAAAAGAUGUUCCUGUGUGUUAACUUAAAUGACGCUAUUGGUAUAGCUAAAUUUUCCAUAGUUUUCUUUACCGAACCCUCUUGCUGGUAACAAGGAUGUUUAGAGAUGCACACUCCACUCAUCGUGCUUACCAAAGGAACAUGCAGACCAACAUUUACCACAGUUUUUUGUAUACGUGAAUCAAUUUUCAAUACCAAAUUACAUGAUUUUGUAAGAUAACACUGUCUGUAACUGUAUUCUUGUGCUAUUGCUGCAAGCGGUACACUCGGUAAACAUAUUCGGCCCAAAACAAGCUCUCAAACUUGGUACACCUUGACAUGUAAUUACAGUACCUAAAAUGCAGUACAGAAACAACCUCAUUAAUAUUAAUACCAAGAAGCAUUAAAAUAGUAAAAUUAUAGCAAUGAAGCAAGAAAUAAUGUAUUGA
Molecule: non-coding RNA, 1247 nt
Organism: Paramuricea clavata
Lineage: Eukaryota; Metazoa; Cnidaria; Anthozoa; Malacalcyonacea; Plexauridae
Source: the annotation of a GenBank genome assembly